Molecule: long non-coding RNA, 4331 nt
Filed under: Homo sapiens (human)
Lineage: Eukaryota; Metazoa; Chordata; Mammalia; Primates; Hominidae
Description: LHX8 antisense RNA 1 (LHX8-AS1)
Source: RNAcentral
AAAAUACUAACCUUGAUCUAAGAGCGUCUAUCUCUGCAUAAGUGGAGAAAAUGAUUCAUUUUUAGAGGUUUCUGGGCUUGGGGAAGAAGAAUGGUCGUCAGACAGGAGCAGAAGACGUGAAAGAUUGGUCUGGCCUCGCUUUACUCCAGGCGCCUUGUGGGAUGCUGACCUGUCCCGGGGUGCAGCUGCGCGCACCCCUCCUUGAGCUGUAAGCCUCUGGGCGGUGGAAAAGCAAUCGCCUGCGUCGUGACAGUUCCUACCUACUAAAUUGAAAAUUUGAAAAUCAGAGGCGGCAGGCCCACCCAAGGUGUCUACCAACAUCCGUGGACCACAGGGCUUUUUGCAAGCCCAUGGGAAAGACAGCCUGAGAGACUUCGGAGUGCGUCCUGUCCCAGGCUGUGCCUCUCCUGCUUAAGGGAAGCCUUGAGUGUAUCUCCCUAAAAACAGAUGGGGGCAGGGAAGGGGUCUAGAUCCCGUGGAGCCAGGCCUUGAUUGGAGGUCCGGGCUGGAGAGAGGGAACAUCAACCCGCCCUGACCCCCACAGCUUCCACUCACCCGAAGAGCUGCCUAAUUGGGCUGCGAGCAGCUGCGAAAUUUGUAAUCGUCUAAUGAGCCUUCCGCCUCGGUAAUUCUUAUCAAAAGGCAUAAAACUGAUAUUUUCACACUCAGCUCGCACUGCAGGCGCCGUUUAUAAACAUCCUUCAUCAGUGGGAUGAAAUUAAGCCUGCAUUGACAGAGGUCUCUGGAACUCGAUAUUUAAAAGCAAUAGAUCCGAAUUAGCAAAUUAUAACUUUAAGUAGGGAAAGUCCCCACCAACUUGACUAUUGAACCCUUUGCCUCUGAGCUCCUCGGGGUGAGUAACCACACGUUUGAGAGAACUUAACCUGGAGGUUCUGCGGUGCUCAGGCAAUCUCCGGAAACUCGGAUUCCCGAAACUGCCCCUGCUACGGCUCCUCCCGCCCGCCUUCUAGGGACUCGCCUGGGUCAGACCUGUGGAGAUCGGGGCGAGGCACAGCUGGAGCCUGAGAGAAAACGUGGUCAAAGGAGGCGCAUCCAGGACUCCCGGGCGGCCUGCAGGCGCAGAAACAGAGCCCUGCUCUUGCGGACCCGAGCUUUCCCUGGCCCGCGGCCCUCACCGCCCACCUCCAGGGCUCCAGCGCCAAGGGUACAGUGGGCCAUAGGACUGUAGGAGGCGGUGGAGGAUGGGGAGACUUUCGCGAUCAUAAGAAGGUGCGGAUUCUGGCAGAAUUCUGGUUGGCGACUCCUUCGAUCCCUGAAGGUGAAAUCUCAGCUAAAACCACUCUGAAACUGUGGAUGUCACACUUGGUUCAGGGUUAGGAGACCGUGUCUUUGGAUUUUUGCCCAUCACGUGUAACCAUUAUAAAUAUUAGUCUGGAAAAAGACUUUAGGAGAUUGCUUCUAGAGGUUCUUUCCACAAACUUACCCUGCUCAGAAUCUGCAUAACCCCUCAGAGAUGGCAGAGCUGUAUACGGGCUCACCUUGGGACUUACCGGUCCCAGACUCCGUUUUAUACCUUGCUACCCACAGUUUCUGAGGGUAAGAGAGGGGUGCUUUUAUUCACGCCAGUGGAGGUCGCCAAAAGCGGGCGAGGGCCUCCGUCUGGGACCCACUGGUCUCUCUCCCACUGUGGGCCAAGACUGAGGUUUGAUGGGCUUCCCAGCUGGGCAAGCCUGCUCCACGCGGGACACCCGGGAAUCCACUGGCGGGCAGACCCUGCCUUCGCCACCCGCCCCGCGGCAUUCCUCACUGCGGUCUGAUGCGCCAGCUGGGGCCAGUUGUUUCAAGCGGUUCUGGAGGACCAAUAGCGGAAAGCCAAGUUCUGCGACCAAGAGUCUGUACGAGUGACUCGGUGUUUCUUUCCAGCCGGUUCGCAGAGCGCCAGUAAGCUCUCCCGGUCCGCUACGGAAGAAAUAGGGGAAGCGUUUCCAGUCUAAGAGAGAGGAUGGGAGAGAGAAAAUUAGGAACCACGCCGAAAUUAAGCAGGGCAGCCUGGAAAGCUUCCCGGCUAAAAGCUAUGGCGCGAAACGCUAAAGUCCAUCACACCAUUUAUUCAUUGUGACAUUUCCAAGCCGACAAUAGCGCCUUAAGCACGCCUGUGGUUUGGAGGUGCCGGUUUUAUAUGCAUUUUACUGUUUAGAAUGAUAAACAAAUCAGGACCAAUGGAAACCUGAUUCUAACCUCUUUCUACAGAACUCUGCCUGCAUAAUUCUGUAAAAGCCGAAAUCCAAGGUGGCCAGAGAGAGAGAGAGAGAAUCCAACUCUCUACCCGCCUCCCUUUACCGCGUUUCCCUACAAGUCCUAGGCAAACCGGGCAGAUAUAGCCUGGAGUUCGCUGAUCAAGAAAGAGGAUGGAACCGAGGCCCUUCAGGCUUCUCCUCCCCUUCCACAUCCCCGUUUUCCCACUUCCCCAGGGAUGUCUGAAAGCCCAACUCGGCCAGUGUGGCAGGAAAGUUAAACUUUAUCUAAGUGCAAAAACCAGAUGGUUUUCUCGGUUUCUGGGGAUAGGUGAGAGGCAGAAGUGGGGCUGUGUGAGCCUCCUAUUCACAGGCUUGGAUGACAUUUUGAUAAGGGAACCCUCAGCUCAAGUUGUUAGCCAGGGUGAAUGAGCCCCACACAAGCCUGCGCCGACCGCCCACAACUUUGGUGUCUAAGGUUCUCCCCAGCAACACUUCCACCUCCGGUGUAACUCGUAAAGCUAUGCUUUUACAAAAAAAAAGUUGGCCCAAGAAUCUUGAGCCAUGAAUUUUAAAAACUUAAAUAACUUCUAUAUGCCAUUUCUGCUACAGGAGACUGGUUCUUGUAACUGUGGCAAGGUUUUCUUCCUUUCCUUCCUAUCCUCCUCCUCUCCCUUCCUCCUUCCCUGCUUGCCUUCCUUCCUUCAUGGGAGUUCAGGGUUUAAGAGGUAGGCAACGUGUUAUUAUAGUAAGAGCACAGGUUUGAAGUUAGUAAAAUAUGUAAUGGAAUUUUGAGCAAUUUAAAUUUUUAACACUUGAGCUUUCUCAUUUGUAAAAUGAAGAUGGCAUCACUUGGAAAUUGUCAUAAAAAAUCACAAUGUUGAAUUAAGUGCUCAUCCACACAGGAGGUUCUUAGUGAACAUAAUGUUUCUCCUACCACAUCCUCCUUCACCUCUCUAGAGAGGUCUGGAUGUAGAGGAGCCACCAAAGGCCCAAUUUCCCCAGUGAAGGGUAGGUCAAUGUUCUUCAGCGAGUUGACCACUUCUAGGGGUUCAGAGGGUCAUGAGGUUAGACGCACCUCCCUGGGCUGCAGAGGCUCCAGAGAUGAGUGCAGCUGCCUGUAGCCACCUCUGUCGUGGCAACUAGGCCCAAGGAUGCACAAUGAACACCUUUUUCAUCUCCUUUGUCGCUGGUUUAUUUGAGAGUUAAUCUAUAACAUUUAAAAAUGCUUGGCACCCUUCUGUCAGUUUGCACAACCUUCUGAAUAUUGUGAAAAUGGCAGUAAUCAUAGCUGUUGAUUAUUAUUUGUCAAAUGCCCCCACUGACGUUAUGGCACACAACCCUACUUUAAUUUAUCCAAAGCCCUAUUUUACCAAGCCAGGGCAGAAUUCAAACCCAGACGUCCGACGCGAAUGCCUGACUUUUAACUACUUUGCGGUGUUUGUCCUCUUUAGGGUGAGUUCAGAAAUGGACACUUUCAGUAAAUGGAUUCAUGAUAGUUCUUUACCACUCCAGCACAAGUGGUCCAGCCGCUAGCCUCUUGCCUCUGCCCACUUCCGCUGAGCAGCUGGGGGGUGCCUGGUGUGCUGUGGGGAAGAGCGCCACCUUCCCACGCCUACUCUUGCUGAGGUUAAACAGCAUUUCAGUGCCGAAUAAAACGGCCACGAAGGGGAAAAAGGAGAACGCUUAAAUCGGCGGUAAAAUCGUUCUCUCUCCUUUUCCUUGCAGAUUGCAUAAUUUGAUGUCUAAUCAUCAGCAAGUGGAACAAAACCUGGAUUGAAUAGACGGUGACUCGAUCUCCGUACAGACUGAGGUCCAAAGGUCUGCGCUCACUUCUGGAACUUUCCUUUUGGGCCUUGACCGAACUCCUGUUAUUGUGUGCAGUAGCAGAGGCUGCGCUGCGUGGUUCAGUUUGUGCAAAGGCUAUUUAUUGUUUCUCAUUUACUGACCACUCGGGAGAAGCCUUUAGCAAUAGUUUUUCCCGACACAAACUUGAAUAAAGUCGACCCCUGCAGUUCUUCCUGAGGCUCUACAAGCUUCCUGGAUGCAGGAACCAUGUGCUGUUCUGACGACGCUCCGAAACCUAGUUCAGUGCCUGGCACUAGACAAUAAAAAAUUGCUUUCUGAAUGAAAGUA